Molecule: non-coding RNA, 75 nt
Organism: Streptomyces yokosukanensis
Lineage: Bacteria; Bacillati; Actinomycetota; Actinomycetes; Kitasatosporales; Streptomycetaceae
Rfam family: ASpks TB sRNA
Source: Rfam
CUUGACCGAGCCGAGCAGCAGCGGCCGCUCGGCCGGCCGGUCCUGCCCGUAGGUGGCCAGCAGCGCCUGCGCCUC